Long non-coding RNA from Ostrinia furnacalis (Asian corn borer), 239 nucleotides. RefSeq lists it as uncharacterized. NCBI's taxonomy places the organism in Eukaryota, Metazoa, Arthropoda, Insecta, Lepidoptera, Crambidae. The record is from RefSeq and is a predicted model, not a curated record. The transcript is spliced from 2 exons.
AGGUAUCACAGCGGGGAGCGGCCAUAUUCGUGCGACAUCUGCAAGAAGACCUUCAACCAGAUCUCGCACAUGAAGCGACACGAGAGGUCCGCCGACUGCGUCAAAAGGGCGGCUAAACAAAAGCUGUAGCGUGGUUUCGGUAACUACGCUUAGGGUACUUCAUUAGUACCACCGUGAUAUUCAUAUUGUAUUGUAAUGAAUUAAUAACAAUUUAAAAUAUACAUAAUUUAGCACAAUUA